UAUAGCUUUCACUCAAACCCUAAUCACUACAAUUAAAAUAAUCUAAUCUUUUAUAUAUCUUAUUUUUAUUAGAAAACUCUAAUCAAUAUAUUGUAACCAUAUUCUCUCAAUUAUGGCAUCCACCCAAACUGAUGAAAAUCAAAAUAAAGAAUUGAACGUAAGUAUCAUCUCUUCUUUUAUUCAUUCAUUAGCUAGUGUAAUUCAUUGAGUAUUUCAUGGCAUCGUUUUUUUUUUUUUUUUGUAUUCUUUUGAGUUUUUGAUUGAAUACAUGUUCGAUUUGUUUCCUCUGUCAGACGAGAUGAUAUAUUAUAUUUUU
This 316-nucleotide small RNA is filed under the name Arabidopsis thaliana (thale cress). Its description in RNAcentral is "ATSL212270". Lineage: Eukaryota; Viridiplantae; Streptophyta; Magnoliopsida; Brassicales; Brassicaceae. The record is from RNAcentral.